RNAcentral lists this ribosomal RNA (3006 nucleotides) under Salmonella enterica. RNAcentral describes it as "23S ribosomal RNA". It matches the Rfam family "Bacterial large subunit ribosomal RNA". The record is from RNAcentral. Lineage: Bacteria; Pseudomonadati; Pseudomonadota; Gammaproteobacteria; Enterobacterales; Enterobacteriaceae.
GGUUAAGCGACUAAGCGUACACGGUGGAUGCCCUGGCAGUCAGAGGCGAUGAAGGGCGUGCUAAUCUGCGAUAAGCGCCGGUAAGGUGAUAUGAACCGUUAUAACCGGCGAUACCCGAAUGGGGAAACCCAGUGUGACUCGUCACACUAUCAUUAACUGAAUCCAUAGGUUAAUGAGGCGAACCGGGGGAACUGAAACAUCUAAGUACCCCGAGGAAAAGAAAUCAACCGAGAUUCCCCCAGUAGCGGCGAGCGAACGGGGAGGAGCCCAGAGCCUGAAUCAGCAUGUGUGUUAGUGGAAGCGUCUGGAAAGGCGCGCGAUACAGGGUGACAGCCCCGUACACAAAAGCGCAUGUGCUGUGAGCUCGAUGAGUAGGGCGGGACACGUGGUAUCCUGUCUGAAUAUGGGGGGACCAUCCUCCAAGGCUAAAUACUCCUGACUGACCGAUAGUGAACCAGUACCGUGAGGGAAAGGCGAAAAGAACCCCGGCGAGGGGAGUGAAAAAGAACCUGAAACCGUGUACGUACAAGCAGUGGGAGCCCCACCACUAAGCCAGUGGUGAACUCCACAUACGCAUCCUUUGCUGAGGAUACGGUUAACGGAGCGAAAGCGACGUUCAACCUCAAAAGAAGCAGAGGGGGCUUAGUGGUGGGGUGACUGCGUACCUUUUGUAUAAUGGGUCAGCGACUUAUAUUCUGUAGCAAGGUUAACCGAAUAGGGGAGCCGGAGGGAAACCGAGUCUUAACCGGGCGUUAAGUUGCAGGGUAUAGACCCGAAACCCGGUGAUCUAGCCAUGGGCAGGUUGAAGGUUGGGUAACACUAACUGGAGGACCGAACCGACUAAUGUUGAAAAAUUAGCGGAUGACCUGUGGCUGGGGGUGAAAGGCCAAUCAAACCGGGAGAUAGCUGGUUCUCCCCGAAAGCUAUUUAGGUAGCGCCUCGUGAAUUCAUCUCCGGGGGUAGAGCACUGUUUCGGCUAGGGGGCCAUCCCGGCUUACCAACCCGAUGCAAACUGCGAAUACCGGAGAAUGUUAUCACGGGAGACACACGGCGGGUGCUAACGUCCGUCGUGAAGAGGGAAACAACCCAGACCGCCAGCUAAGGUCCCAAAGUCAUGGUUAAGUGGGAAACGAUGUGGGAAGGCCCAGACAGCCAGGAUGUUGGCUUAGAAGCAGCCAUCAUUUAAAGAAAGCGUAAUAGCUCACUGGUCGAGUCGGCCUGCGCGGAAGAUGUAACGGGGCUAAACCAUGCACCGAAGCUGCGGCAGCGACACUGUGUGUUGUUGGGUAGGGGAGCGUUCUGUAAGCCUGUGAAGGUGGCCUGUGAGGGUUGCUGGAGGUAUCAGAAGUGCGAAUGCUGACAUAAGUAACGAUAAAGCGGGUGAAAAGCCCGCUCGCCGGAAGACCAAGGGUUCCUGUCCAACGUUAAUCGGGGCAGGGUGAGUCGACCCCUAAGGCGAGGCCGAAAGGCGUAGUCGAUGGGAAACGGGUUAAUAUUCCCGUACUUGGUGUUACUGCGAAGGGGGGACGGAGAAGGCUAUGUUGGCCGGGCGACGGUUGUCCCGGUUUAAGCGUGUAGGUGUGUGUUCCAGGUAAAUCCGGUUCACUUUAACACUGAGGCGUGAUGACGAGGCACUACGGUGCUGAAGCAACAAAUGCCCUGCUUCCAGGAAAAGCCUCUAAGCAUCAGGUAACAUCAAAUCGUACCCCAAACCGACACAGGUGGUCAGGUAGAGAAUACCAAGGCGCUUGAGAGAACUCGGGUGAAGGAACUAGGCAAAAUGGUGCCGUAACUUCGGGAGAAGGCACGCUGACACGUAGGUGAAGUGAUUUACUCAUGGAGCUGAAGUCAGUCGAAGAUACCAGCUGGCUGCAACUGUUUAUUAAAAACACAGCACUGUGCAAACACGAAAGUGGACGUAUACGGUGUGACGCCUGCCCGGUGCCGGAAGGUUAAUUGAUGGGGUCAGCGCAAGCGAAGCUCCUGAUCGAAGCCCCGGUAAACGGCGGCCGUAACUAUAACGGUCCUAAGGUAGCGAAAUUCCUUGUCGGGUAAGUUCCGACCUGCACGAAUGGCGUAAUGAUGGCCAGGCUGUCUCCACCCGAGACUCAGUGAAAUUGAACUCGCUGUGAAGAUGCAGUGUACCCGCGGCAAGACGGAAAGACCCCGUGAACCUUUACUAUAGCUUGACACUGAACAUUGAGCCUUGAUGUGUAGGAUAGGUGGGAGGCUUUGAAGUGUGGACGCCAGUCUGCAUGGAGCCGACCUUGAAAUACCACCCUUUAAUGUUUGAUGUUCUAACGUGGACCCGUAAUCCGGGUUGCGGACAGUGUCUGGUGGGUAGUUUGACUGGGGCGGUCUCCUCCUAAAGAGUAACGGAGGAGCACGAAGGUUGGCUAAUCCUGGUCGGACAUCAGGAGGUUAGUGCAAUGGCAUAAGCCAGCUUGACUGCGAGCGUGACGGCGCGAGCAGGUGCGAAAGCAGGUCAUAGUGAUCCGGUGGUUCUGAAUGGAAGGGCCAUCGCUCAACGGAUAAAAGGUACUCCGGGGAUAACAGGCUGAUACCGCCCAAGAGUUCAUAUCGACGGCGGUGUUUGGCACCUCGAUGUCGGCUCAUCACAUCCUGGGGCUGAAGUAGGUCCCAAGGGUAUGGCUGUUCGCCAUUUAAAGUGGUACGCGAGCUGGGUUUAGAACGUCGUGAGACAGUUCGGUCCCUAUCUGCCGUGGGCGCUGGAGAACUGAGGGGGGCUGCUCCUAGUACGAGAGGACCGGAGUGGACGCAUCACUGGUGUUCGGGUUGUCAUGCCAAUGGCACUGCCCGGUAGCUAAAUGCGGAAGAGAUAAGUGCUGAAAGCAUCUAAGCACGAAACUUGCCCCGAGAUGAGUUCUCCCUGAGACUUAGAGUCUCCUGAAGGAACGUUGAAGACGACGACGUUGAUAGGCCGGGUGUGUAAGCGCAGCGAUGCGUUGAGCUAACCGGUACUAAUGAACCGUGAGGCUUAACCUU